Molecule: ribosomal RNA, 401 nt
Filed under: Graneledone pacifica
Lineage: Eukaryota; Metazoa; Mollusca; Cephalopoda; Octopoda; Octopodidae
Description: partial 12S ribosomal RNA
Source: RNAcentral
UUUUAAAUUAUAAAAAAUAAUUAUAUUUACCUAAGUAUUAUGAGAGUAUAAUUAUUAUGAAAAUAAUUCUUUUUAAAACUUAAAAGGUUUGGCGGUUUUACAUAUCCAAUUAGGGGAGUUUGUUAAUUAAUUUGAUAAUCCUCAAUUUAGACUUACUUUUUUUUGAUAUAUAUACAGUUUGUAUAUUGCUGUCAUUAGUUUAUAUUUUAAAAAUAAUUAAAGGACUAUGAAAUUAUUUGGUUUUUAUGUCAAGUCAUAAUGCAGCUUAUAGAAAAGAUUUAGUGAACUACUAUAAUUAAUUUUAUUAAAUUCCGGAUUUUAAAAAUUAUUUUUAUUAGAAAGGUGGACUUAAUAGUAAAAUGUAAUUAGUAUGUAUUAUUGAAUAUUGGUUUUGUAAGGUG